GACGAACGCUGGCGGCGUGCUUAACACAUGCAAGUCGAACGGUGACCCAGGGCUUGCCCUGGUGAUCAGUGGCGAACGGGUGAGUAACACGUGGGCAACCUGCCCCUGACUUCGGGAUAACUCCUCGAAAGAGGAGCUAAUACCGGAUACGACCACUUCGGACAUCCGAUGGUGGUGGAAAGUUUUCGGUCAGGGAUGGGCCCGCGGCCUAUCAGCUAGUUGGUGGGGUAAUGGCCUACCAAGGCGACGACGGGUAGCCGGCCUGAGAGGGCGACCGGCCACACUGGGACUGAGACACGGCCCAGACUCCUACGGGAGGCAGCAGUGGGGAAUAUUGCGCAAUGGGCGAAAGCCUGACGCAGCGACGCCGCGUGAGGGAUGAAGGCCUUCGGGUUGUAAACCGUCUUUCUAGCAGGGACGAAGCGAAAGUGACGGUACCUGCAGAAGAAGCACCGGCUAACUACGUGCCAGCAGCCGCGGUAAU
RNAcentral lists this ribosomal RNA (484 nucleotides) under uncultured bacterium. RNAcentral describes it as "bacterial SSU rRNA". It matches the Rfam family "Bacterial small subunit ribosomal RNA", at positions 28 to 524 of the family's 1533-position model. The record is from RNAcentral.